Molecule: microRNA precursor, 56 nt
Filed under: Pristionchus pacificus
Lineage: Eukaryota; Metazoa; Nematoda; Chromadorea; Rhabditida; Neodiplogasteridae
Description: microRNA ppc-mir-8318 precursor
Source: miRBase by way of RNAcentral
GUUAUGAUCGAUGAAGCACGUGCGCAUAAUGCGCAUCGGCUUCAUCGAUUAUGACC